Humulus lupulus (European hop) is the source of this 1484-nucleotide long non-coding RNA. RefSeq lists it as uncharacterized. The transcript has 4 exons. The record is from RefSeq and is a predicted model, not a curated record. Lineage: Eukaryota; Viridiplantae; Streptophyta; Magnoliopsida; Rosales; Cannabaceae.
AAUACUUUGUACACCAAUAGAGAAAAAUGCCAAAGGACCGUACGACAAUAUAAUAUACUCAUAUUAUUUCAGACAGAUACCCAAAGGAUCAAAGAGGCUUACCUCGAAUUUUUUUGGCGAUUGGGCUCCUUCUUCAGCUGGCUUCUGAAUUUGUUUCUUUCUUUGGCAAUUCCUGAUUUGAAGCAUGAGCUCCUUUUUAUUGUAUUGAGUUUCUAGUGCAGAUACAGACCUUGGUGCUCAACCUUACACGGACGAGCUAGUUGAUCAAAUUAUUGAGGGUAUUGAAUCUAUAAAAGAGGAGCAUCGUAAUUUCAUAAAGUUUCUUCACAAAGAUUGUCGGAAAAAAUCACAAGACAGUAACGACGAAGACAAGAUGUCUAAAAAACAAAGUGAUCAAAAUACCCAAAGCUAGUGAUGCUAUGGCUAAAGCCAAACUGACAACAGCUAAGAGGCCAAAGACAGGCGGGUCCAAACAAGUUUUCGAGAUUAAUUUUUCUGAUAUUCCGCUGACCCAAUCUUCUUUGGGUACAUGUACUACUAUCAAGAGGAAAGUUGACUUUCUUGACCCAGAGGUCCCUGAUGAGACUGUCCUUCGAAUUCCUCAUACUGUGUCGAUUUACUCAAACCCUGCAUCGAUUGAAGGACAUGUAGGUAGACUCCUUCAUCCUGCUAAUCGAGAAUGACUGAAUGAUCUUGGUCGAGUUGGGGCUGCCAACUAUGGAGUAGCUGAGGCUUACAAGGCAAGGAUGUUGUUUAUUGCCUUAUUAUUGUGUUUAGUCAUUUUAGCUUUUUUUAAACUUGGUUGUAAUGUAUGUAGAUUCUUCAAGCCAUGAUUUACAUUCGAGAAGAUUAUCCUGUCUUGGAGAAGAAGAACAUAAUUUUGACUAAUAAUAAUGCUUCCUUGAAGCUGGAGAUUGAGAAGCAUGUAGAGAAAGAGCGCCAAUCUGAGAUCUUAUUAAACCUCUAAAGGAUGAGCUUGAGAAGGUGAAGCGAUAGCUGAAUAAUGAGAAGAAAAAGGCAGAGGACCUUGCCUCUGAUUUUGACUAGGUUGCUUUGAUUGCUUUUGUCAAGACUCGUGGAGAACUAAUGAUCGAGUACAAGGAAGGAAAGUAUGUUGACUGGGAUGUGGAUAGUGAGAUAGAAACUUACUGUGCCCACAUGGGUUUGGAUGUUGAUGGUGAAGGAGCUGAACAACUUGAAGAUUGUGAAUAUCGAAGAAGCAGCUGCUGAGAUCCUUGAUCUCGGUACUACAAAGGACCGUGAAGAACCUCAUACAAAUGCUUAGUUUCGCUUCAUAUUUUGCUUAGUGGUUCAUGUAUCUGGGUAUUUUGAUUAUUGACAUUUUCCUUGCACAUGCCCCCUUUUUGAAUUCAUCUUUUGUACUAUUUGCCUAAUAGGAUUCGAUGACUGCUAGAAGAAAUAUUUGUCUAUUUAUGGUGUUCUAAAUGAGUGUUAAAAUUUCUCCUUACAUUUUUGAAUUUGAG